CCUACGGGAGGCAGCAGUGGGGAAUCUUAGACAAUGGGCGCAAGCCUGAUCUAGCCAUGCCGCGUGGGUGAUGAAGGCCUUAGGGUCGUAAAGCCCUUUCGCCGGGGAUACGGUACCCGGUAAAGAAACCCCGGCUAACUCCGUGCCAGCAGCCGCGGUAAUACGGAGGGGGUUAGCGUUGUUCGGAAUGACUGGGCGUAAAGCGCGCGUAGGCGGGCUGGAAAGUUGGGGGUGAAAUCCCGGGGCUCAACCCCGGAAUGGCCUUCAAAACUCCCAGCCUAGAGUUCGAGAGAGGUGAGUGGAAUUCCGAGUGUAGAGGUGAAAUUCGUAGAUAUUCGGAGGAACACCAGUGGCGAAGGCGGCUCACUGGCUCGAACUGACGCUGAGGUGCGAAAGCGUGGGGAGCAAACAGGAUUAGAUACCCUUGUAGUC
This 432-nucleotide ribosomal RNA is filed under the name uncultured bacterium. RNAcentral's name for it is "partial 16S ribosomal RNA". It matches the Rfam family "Bacterial small subunit ribosomal RNA", at positions 338 to 795 of the family's 1533-position model. The record is from RNAcentral.